GAGCUUGCUCUUAUGAAGUUAGCGGCGGACGGGUGAGUAACACGUGGGUAACCUGCCCAUAAGACUGGGAUAACUCCGGGAAACCGGGGCUAAUACCGGAUAACAUUUUGAACCGCAUGGUUCGAAAUUGAAAGGCGGCUUCGGCUGUCACUUAUGGAUGGACCCGCGUCGCAUUAGCUAGUUGGUGAGGUAACGGCUCACCAAGGCAACGAUGCGUAGCCGACCUGAGAGGGUGAUCGGCCACACUGGGACUGAGACACGGCCCAGACUCCUACGGGAGGCAGCAGUAGGGAAUCUUCCGCAAUGGACGAAAGUCUGACGGAGCAACGCCGCGUGAGUGAUGAAGGCUUUCGGGUCGUAAAACUCUGUUGUUAGGGAAGAACAAGUGCUAGUUGAAUAAGCUGGCACCUUGACGGUACCUAACCAGAAAGCCACGGCUAACUACGUGCCAGCAGCCGCGGUAAUACGUAGGUGGCAAGCGUUAUCCGGAAUUAUUGGGCGUAAAGCGCGCGCAGGUGGUUUCUUAAGUCUGAUGUGAAAGCCCACGGCUCAACCGUGGAGGGUCAUUGGAAACUGGGAGACUUGAGUGCAG
This 592-nucleotide ribosomal RNA is filed under the name Bacillus thuringiensis. RNAcentral describes it as "bacterial SSU rRNA". It matches the Rfam family "Bacterial small subunit ribosomal RNA", at positions 76 to 651 of the family's 1533-position model. Lineage: Bacteria; Bacillati; Bacillota; Bacilli; Caryophanales; Bacillaceae. The record is from RNAcentral.